AUUACUUCCUAUUACGUCUUACUUAUGCUUUUAAUUUCGCUUUGCUCCCAGGGAGCGCAAGUACGUUCACGUUUGCUAACUUCAUAAGCCUUGAUCAGUAGGCCUACUGAUUCUACUUGAGUUCACGAAGAAAACAGUCCAUCGAAGCUUUCUUUGUUAAAAGGGAAUGGAAGUGGUCUCGUCGUUCAACUGCCAAACACUCCUUCGGUCUGAAUUCAAUCGUCUGGCAACCAACCUAUCUCAGAAUGUACAGGAUGAGAAGACAGUAAGGUCGUUAAAAGCUUUCUGGGCUGAAGUCAUUCCCAAAAGUAAACUCGAUUGUGUCCUCGACGUUCGUGAGCUGUUAUUGAUUUUGUUGGAAGCCGGUCAUGUAUCACUUACCGAUCUUGAUGUAGUCAAAAGACAACUGUCCAUGCUAGGGCUGUGCAGCAUGGUUCAAAUGUGCUUGCAGUAUGAAGCCAAUGUCCAGAGAAUAGCUUUCCCUACCACUUCAAACAGCCCUCUUCCAGGAACUGAGAAUGAGACAAAGGCAUACAGUCCGGAUGGAUAUGUUGACGCCCACUUUCCAGUGAUGGAGUCAAAUGCUCUCCACAGUUCACAUUCAAAGGAGGGUGCUGCUUGUCAUCAUAAUGAACCAGAAGAGUGUGAUGAGCAGCAGUUCUGCACACAAUUAAGUGGGCUAAUGCGAAACACAGCCCCCACAUUGUCCUCUGUAUCACAGAAUGGAACAGAAACUCAUUUUCUGCCAGGAGAUACCCAGUUAUCCUGCUCAUUGACCACACAGACUUCUAACCAGACCUGGAAUCCAGAAACUGAAGUUGGAGUUCUUGACACUUCUGUGGUACCGAACUAUACUUCAGCUGCCCACCAUGAGUCUAUUCCCAGCAUGUCUUAUCCUUUAACAACAGUUGGUAAUUCAUUGUGGAAAUCAUAUGUUCUGCAAGAAUUUGACAAACUGCAGGAUUUUUCACCGGAAGAAGUACAAGCAUUACAGCGUAUAAUGGGCUUGGAUUGCACAUGGCAGAAUGUGGUCAGAGGUGUUGGUGUACGUGAAUUUUUAGUGUCUUACUACAAUAGUCCUCACCUUAGACAGCUAUGUGAAGAGAUGAAGAACUUAAAACGUGAUGAUGUAGUCAUUGCACUACAUUGUCAGAAGUCAAUUCUGCCUCAGCUUGGACCAAAGCAAAAGGAAGAGCUGAAAAUUGGGGAAAUGAAGUUUACAGUGUGGCAUGUAUUUACUAUGGCCUUGAGUGUUGAGCAUGAGCAAGCAGGUCUAGACUGGAGGUGGCUGGCAGAGAAGUUGGAUAUUCCUCAGUUCUGUACACAGCUUUGGAGACAGAAAAGCAAAAAUCCUGCAGAGGAUGUGCUGAAUUCCUGGAAAAAUAAAAUUAGCGAAGCCACAGUAGGGAAGCUCUUCGAUUACAUGAUCAGUAUGAAACGUGAGGAUUUGGCAGACCUUCUUUAAAGGUGAUAGUUUCUGGAAGAAACUUGAAUUUUUCACAUACGCAGAAGGCUUUCAUAUCUGGUGAUGAACUCCAAGCUAACAUCUGCUUUCCAAUGUCAGACUUGAACAGUUGUGGGGCCCAGUACAGAAUUCCCUUUCCUGUGUGAUCUGAAACUAGUAAAAUAACCCUGGAAUGCAUGAGAGGUAACAAGAACUUUACAGUCACUGGGGCUAUCAGUUUCAGCAGGAGAAUCAAGAAAUGCAAUCUUGUCAUGUAUUAAGUAGAAAAUUACAUGGGAGAUGUUGGUGGGGGUCAGGCAAUGCUUUGAUUUUGUAGCAGAUUACAUUCAGUGGCCUACUUUAGACCUUUUCAGUUCCAUGAUGCCACAGGAGCCAGGGGAGUCACAAAAAGCUCAGGACUUAGGAUCAAUGGAAGAAGAACAAAUUUGUACAAUAGAAGAAAUAGAAGACACCAGUAUACCCCCUGCAAAAGAAGAUGAGGAAAUUGACAGCACUAUCCCCCCUGCAACAGAAGAUGAAAAAGAAGGCAACAGUAGCAUCCCUGCAACAGAAGACAAAAAAGAAGACACCAGUAUUCCCCCUGCAAUAGAAGAUGAAGUAGAAGACAUCAGUAUUCCCUCCGAAGCAGAUCAACCAGUGGCCAUCAAAACAUCAGACAGUGUUAAUGACGACACAAUUCCAACACCCAGUAUUCCAGUUACACCCACCAAAGCAGUUAUUCCUGUUAAGAUAUA
This is an RNA transcript of Polypterus senegalus (gray bichir), 2199 nucleotides long. RefSeq lists it as uncharacterized. The transcript has 11 exons. Lineage: Eukaryota; Metazoa; Chordata; Cladistia; Polypteriformes; Polypteridae. The record is from RefSeq and is a predicted model, not a curated record.